UACGGAGGGGGCUAGCGUUGUUCGGAAUUACUGGGCGUAAAGCGUACGUAGGCGGCUUUGCAAGUUAGAGGUGAAAGCCCGGGGCUCAACCCCGGAAUUGCCUUUAAGACUGCAUCGCUUGAACGUCGGAGAGGUGAGUGGAAUUCCGAGUGUAGAGGUGAAAUUCGUAGAUAUUCGGAAGAACACCAGUGGCGAAGGCGGCUCACUGGACGACUGUUGACGCUGAGGUACGAAAGCGUGGGGAGCAAACAGG
RNAcentral lists this ribosomal RNA (253 nucleotides) under uncultured bacterium. Its description in RNAcentral is "partial 16S ribosomal RNA". It matches the Rfam family "Bacterial small subunit ribosomal RNA", at positions 524 to 776 of the family's 1533-position model. The record is from RNAcentral.